AGUGAACGCUGGCGGUAGGCCUAACACAUGCAAGUCGAACGGCAGCACAGUAAGAGCUUGCUCUUACGGGUGGCGAGUGGCGGACGGGUGAGGAAUACAUCGGAAUCUACUUUUUCGUGGGGGAUAACGUAGGGAAGCUUACGCUAAUACCGCAUACGACCUACGGGUGAAAGCAGGGGAUCUUCGGACCUUGCGCGAUUGAAUGAGCCGAUGUCGGAUUUGCUAGUUGGCGGGGUAAAGGCCCACCAAGGCAACGAUACGUAGCCGGACAGAGAGGAUGAUCAGCCACACUGGAACUGAGACACGGUCCAGACUCCUACGGGAGGCAGCAGUGGGGAAUAUUGGACAAUGGGCGCAAGCCUGAUCCAGCCAUACCGCGUGUGUGAAGAAGGCCUUCGGGUUGUAAAGCCCUUUUGUUGGGAAAGAAAAGCAGCAGGUUAAUACCCCGCUGUUCUGACGGUACCCAAAGAAUAAGCACCGGCUAACUUCGUG
Molecule: ribosomal RNA, 492 nt
Filed under: uncultured bacterium
Lineage: Bacteria
Description: partial 16S ribosomal RNA
Rfam family: Bacterial small subunit ribosomal RNA
Source: RNAcentral